This 274-nucleotide long non-coding RNA is filed under the name Elaeis guineensis (African oil palm). RNAcentral's name for it is "long non-coding RNA (EGUI_LNC039030)". Lineage: Eukaryota; Viridiplantae; Streptophyta; Magnoliopsida; Arecales; Arecaceae. The record is from RNAcentral.
AGCGAAGAGGAGGUCGAUUCCUCUCUGGGUUCGACUUCCUCUCUCACGAGUUCGUGCAGAAGAAGACUCCCAACGAGUAUCUUCAAUAUUUUUCUCUAUUUUUUUCUUUUUUUAUUUUCAGAGUUUGGUGCGGUGGGGUAGUGGUGAUGGUGGCUUUGGUUGGGUUGGGUUGAUAGGGGUGUAGAGAUGCUAUGGUUGUGGAGGUCGAAUAAGGUUUAUUUUGAUAACAAUUGAUGCACGAUAAAGGGAGAAGAAAAAGAAGAGGGGGGAGAGG